Molecule: ribosomal RNA, 461 nt
Filed under: Gagea lutea
Lineage: Eukaryota; Viridiplantae; Streptophyta; Magnoliopsida; Liliales; Liliaceae
Description: eukaryotic LSU rRNA
Rfam family: Eukaryotic large subunit ribosomal RNA (bases 321-461)
Source: RNAcentral
UGCAGAAUCCCGUGAACCAUCGAGUCUUUGAACGCAAGUUGCGCCCGAGGCCUUUGGGUCGAGGGCACGCCUGCCUGGGCGUCACGCCUAGCAUCGAACCGCACCAACUGCCCUCCUGGGCAGGGUGCGGCUUCGGAGAUUGGCCUCUCGUGCACUCAAGUGCGGUGGGCUUAAGAGAGGGCUGUCGGCCGGGUCGGCACGACGAGUGGCGGACUUGGUGCCAGCAGGAUGUCGUGUCCCCGGUCUUCGAGGAGCCCAAGACACCCGGAUCGGGCGUGCACACGCGCUUCCCACUCGGGAGGGCCUGCCGCCUCGCAACGUGACCCCAGGUCAGGCGGGGACACCCGCUGAGUUUAAGCAUAUCAAUAAGCGGAGGAGAAGAAACUUACAAGGAUUCCCCUAGUAACGGCGAGUGAACCGGGAGAAGCCCAGCUUGAGAAUCGGGGGGUCUCUGCCCCCAC